This 404-nucleotide ribosomal RNA is filed under the name uncultured bacterium. RNAcentral's name for it is "bacterial SSU rRNA". It matches the Rfam family "Bacterial small subunit ribosomal RNA", at positions 30 to 435 of the family's 1533-position model. The record is from RNAcentral.
AUUGAACGCUGGCGGCAGGCCUAACACAUGCAAGUCGAGCGUGAAAGUCCUUCGGGAUGAGUAAAGCGGCGGACGGGUGAGUAACGCGUAGGAAUCUACCUAAUAGUGGGGGAUAACGUUUCGAAAGGAACGCUAAUACCGCAUACGUUCUGAGGAAGAAAGCAGGGGAUCGUAAGACCUUGCGCUAUUAGAUGAGCCUGCGUCCGAUUAGCUAGUUGGUGGGGUAAAGGCCUACCAAGGCGACGAUCGGUAACUGGUCUGAGAGGAUGAUCAGUCACACUGGAACUGAGACACGGUCCAGACUCCUACGGGAGGCAGCAGUGGGGAAUAUUGGACAAUGGGGGCGAACCCUGAUCCAGCCAUGCCGCGUGUGUGAAGAAGGCCUUCGGGUUGGUUAAAGACUC